RNAcentral lists this ribosomal RNA (773 nucleotides) under Xiphinema pachydermum. Its description in RNAcentral is "eukaryotic LSU rRNA". It matches the Rfam family "Eukaryotic large subunit ribosomal RNA", at positions 373 to 928 of the family's 3401-position model. The record is from RNAcentral. Lineage: Eukaryota; Metazoa; Nematoda; Enoplea; Dorylaimida; Longidoridae.
ACUUUGAAGAGAGAGUUCAAAAGGGCGUGAAACCGCUUAGAAUAAAACGGACGGAACCAUCUGACGCCCUCGGGAAUCAGUCGAACGUCGCGCGAACGCGUUUGGGUUUAACGGAACGUAAAAGUCCGACUCUGAACGUCUAGUAGUCGUGUAUGUGAGGCGCAUUUCUCGAGGGUUAGCGUCGCGACCGAUGCCAAUGGCCGGUGAAAUCGUCCGGUUGAGGUGGAGUACCCUUUACCGGGUAUUCCUUACCAGCUUAGCGAUAAUAAUCGCCGGACCGUAGCAUCGAGCGUCUAUAUAUUUUAAACGUCGGCGUUAAUCGCGCUCGCUAGAAUACGGCGGAGAUUCGGCCUAUUGAGCGACGCCUGCUCGCAGGCGAUCGUUUAACUCGAGGUCGUUUUCAAAGUCGUCUGCGACGUACCGACGUUCAGGCGUCAGCGGCGUCCGAGUUGGUCACCCGUCCGACCCGUCUUGAAACACGGACCAAGGAGUCUAACGUAUGCGCGAGCUAAUGGGUGGAAAACCUAUAAGCGCAAUAAAAGUAAAAACCGUCUUUAGACGGUCGAGGUACGAUCUCGGAUUAUAUAUAGUCCGAGUCGCAGUACCGUCCCGUCCCGACCGCACGUCGGUAGGGCGGAGAUAGAGCGCAUGCGUUGGGACCCGAAAGAUGGUGAACUAUGCCUGAGCAGAGCGAAGCCAGAGGAAACUCUGGUGGAGGUUCGUAGCGGUUCUGACGUGCAAAUCGAUCGUCAGACUUGGGUAUAGGGGCGAAA